This 1095-nucleotide ribosomal RNA is filed under the name uncultured organism. RNAcentral describes it as "bacterial SSU rRNA". It matches the Rfam family "Bacterial small subunit ribosomal RNA", at positions 163 to 1212 of the family's 1533-position model. The record is from RNAcentral.
CUAAUACCGGAUGUGGUGGUUCUGUUGGUUCAGAAUCAACCAAAGGUGGAAAUUCUUCGGAACCUGCCGCUUGAGGAGGGGCCCGCGUCCCAUCAGUUAGUUGGUAGGGUAAUGGCCUACCAAGGCAAAGACGGGUAGCCGGCCUGAGAGGGUGAUCGGCCACACUGGGACUGAGACACUGCCCAGACUCCUACGGGAGGCUGCAGUCGAGGAUACAUUCGCAAUGCUGCGAAAGCGUGACGAUGGGAGGCUGCGUGUUAAGGAAUGACGGNCUACGGGUGUUGUAGACUACUAGUCUAAAGUGGAGAANGCGGUACAUGGCCAAAUAACCGUGUAACCCGAUGUUAUCUUAAGAGGAAGCCAAGGGUAACUCUGUGCAAAGCAAGCGAGGUAAUAAAAAGGAGGCGAGCGAAGUAAGGAAUACUUGGGGGUAAAAGGUGUGUAGGAGGUCAAUGAAUGAAGGAUUGCAGAAUUCAGGAGGGUAAACCAAUUGGGGAGGAUUUGACAACUACGUGGUUAGAGUUGCGAAACAGGGCAAGCGGAAUACUAUGGUGAUGCGGUGAACAGGCGUUAGAUAUCAAUGAAGAACACCGGGAAGCAAAGGGGGCCAGCAGGUACGUAACUGACACUCAUACACGAAAGCUGGGGGAGCAAACAGGUUUUAGAUACCCUGGUAGUCCCAGCUGUAAACGGUGUGCACUCGAUGUUGGCGGAAUUGUCCCCGCCAGUGUCCAAGCAAACGCGUUAAGUGCACCGCCUGGGGAGUACGGUCGCAAGAUUAAAACUCAAAGAAAUUGACGGGGACCCGCACAAGCGGAGGAGCAUGUGGCUUAAUUCGAUGCAACGCGAAGAACCUUACCUGGACGUGACAUAUAACUGCACGUCCCGUGAAAGCGGGAUUCCUUCGAGGGUGUUGUACAGGUGCUGCAUGGCUGUCGUCAGUUCGUGCCGUGAGGUGUUAGGUUAAGUCCUGCAACGAACGCAACCCCUGUGUUUAGUUGCCAUCAGGUAAUGCUGGGCACUCUAGACAGACCGCCCGUGCAAUCGGGAGGAAGGUGGGGACGACGUCAAGUCAGUAUGGCCCUUACGUCCAGG